Molecule: long non-coding RNA, 429 nt
Organism: Chinchilla lanigera (long-tailed chinchilla)
Lineage: Eukaryota; Metazoa; Chordata; Mammalia; Rodentia; Chinchillidae
Exons: 3
Source: RefSeq, a predicted model, not a curated record
CCCUUCCGCGCCGUCCUCCCGACGUGCUCCGCGAUAGCCAGGCGCUUGGCUAGAUUGAGAGGUUGCCGGUUGGGGUGCAGCGUCUGUUUCUCCGGACCAGUUCACCCUGGAGGGAUAGGGAUGAGUAGUCCCACAGAUGCGAUCCUCAUGCUGCCUGCUCCAUGGAGCUUUUGUGACACCCCAGAGGUCAGCUGGUCACAUCCAGCUGGGACACUGACCAUUUCCGUGUGCUGAAAACCCCUGAGUCCCGUCUUCUGGUGUCGGGAAAUGCAUGGCCAUCCUCUCACCCGCAGGACCGUCUUGCACAGCGGCGCACCAGAGCUGCUUCUCCUGUCACGCCAUUACUUGGCACCCACUGAUCAACCUUUCCUCUUCCCAGCCUCUGGGAACCACCACUCCGCUCUCAGCAUCUAUGGGAUCAGCUCUGUU